This 254-nucleotide unclassified non-coding RNA is filed under the name uncultured fungus. Its description in RNAcentral is "partial contains 5.8S ribosomal RNA, internal transcribed spacer 2, and large subunit ribosomal RNA". Lineage: Eukaryota; Fungi. The record is from RNAcentral.
AACGCAUAUUGCGCCCCCUGGUAUUCUGGGGGGCAUGCCUGUCCGAGCGUCAUUACUAUCCUCAAGCAUCGCUUGUGUGUUGGGUCCUGUUUCCUGUAGACUGGCCUGAAAAGCAGUGGCGUUACCGUGUCUGAUGCCUGAGCGUAUGGGGCUUUGUCACUCGCUCCGCAUGGCCACGGUGGCCUUUUUUGCCUAAAUAUAAGAGUUUAUCUCCAGUUGACCUCGGAUCAGGUAGGGAUACCCGCUGAACUUAA